GCAAGCGAAUGAAGGGCGCAUGGGGGAUACCUAGGCUCUCAGAGGCGAUGAAGGACGUGAUAAGCUGCGAAAAGCCACGGGGAUCAGCACAUAUGAAUUGAUCCGUGGAUAUCCGAAUGGGGCAACCCAGUACCAUGAAGUGGUAUUACCCUACGGGGGGCAAACGCGGGGAACUGAAACAUCUAAGUACCCGCAGGAGAAGAAAAUAACAAUGAUUGCGCAAGUAGUGGCGAGCGAACGCGCAGGAGCCCAAACCAGCCUGGUUACGGCCAGACUGGGGUUGUAGGACUCACCAAGUGGGCAUUAAUUGAACUGGAAUGGCGUGGGAAAGCCAAUCGUAGAGGGUGAGAAUCCCGUACAGGUAAGAGCGUUAUAUGAGUGAGUAUCCUGAGUAAGUGGGGACCGGAGAAAUCCCCUCUGAAUCCGGCGGCACCAUCCGCCAAGGCUAAAUACUCCUGAGAGACCGAUAGUGAACGAGUACCGUGAGGGAAAGGUGAAAAGUACCGCGAGCAGCGGGGUGAAAUAGAACUUGAAACCAUGCGCUUACAAGCGGACGGAGCCUACGGGUGACGUCGUGCCUUUUGCAUAAUGAGCCUACGAGUUACGGUUACUGGCAAGGUUAAUGUUUUCAAGAACAGGAGCCGAAGCGAAAGCGAGUCUGAAAUGGGCGAUUAGUCAGUGGCUGUAGACGCGAAACUUGGUGAUCUACCCUUGGUCAGGUUGAAGCGCUGGUAACACAUCGUGGAGGACCGAACCGGUAAACGUUGAAAAGUUUUCGGAUGAACUGAGGGUAGGGGUGAAAGGCCAAUCAAACUGAGAAAUAGCUCGUACUCCCCGAAAUGUUUUUAGGAACAGCGUCGUGGUCGAGUCAUGUUCAGGUAGAGCUACUGAUAGGACUAGGGGGAGUCAAAUCCUACCAAAUUCUGACAAACUCCGAAUGGGGCAUGAUAUACACGGCAGUGAGGGCUGGGGUGCUAAGGUCCCAGUCCGAGAGGGGAACAACCCAGAGCAUCAGCUAAGGUCCCAAAAUAUAUGCUAAGUUGAACUAAGGGGGUCCGACUGCAGAGACAGCCAGGAUGUUAGCUUGGAAGCAGCUAUACAUUUAAAGAGUGCGUAACAGCUCACUGGUCGAGCGGGGCGGGCAUCGAUAAUAAACGGGCAUCAAGCAUAUUACCGAAGCUAUGCGAUAGUAAUUUAUUACGAUCGGUAGGGGAGCAUUCUCACAGGGGUGAAGCUGUGGCGUAAGCCGCGGUGGACUGGUGAGAAAAGCAAAUGUAGGCAUAAGUAACGAUAAUGCGGAUGAGAAAUCCGCACACCGAAAGACUAAGGAUUCCUCCGCUAUGCUAAUCAACGGAGGGUUAGGCGGGGCCUAAGGGAUAGCCGACAGGCGAUUUUCGAUGGACAGCAGGUUAAUAUUCCUGCCCCUGGCUGCAGUGUGAAGAAGUGACGGAGUAUUGUGGUAAGUACGUACUGACGGAAUAGUGCGUUGAGCAGAGCCUACGGGCGAAGCGAACUUACGAAAACGCUUCCAAGAAAAGCUUUUGAAACAUCAGCUGUAUGCAGCCCGUACCGUAAACCGACACAGGUAGUCGAGAAGAAUAUUCUAAGGUGCUCGAGUGAAUCACGGCUAAGGAACUCGGCAAAUUAACCCUGUAACUUCGGGAGAAGGGGAGCCUCCUCUG
RNAcentral lists this ribosomal RNA (1682 nucleotides) under Pseudomonas sp. Its description in RNAcentral is "partial 23S ribosomal RNA". It matches the Rfam family "Bacterial large subunit ribosomal RNA", at positions 1 to 1759 of the family's 2925-position model. Lineage: Bacteria; Pseudomonadati; Pseudomonadota; Gammaproteobacteria; Pseudomonadales; Pseudomonadaceae. The record is from RNAcentral.